GGGACGUGGGGCGGGGAGGCCGGGGGAGCCGAGCCGAGCCGCCGAGCCGCCGAGCCGCGUCGACCGCGCACGCCUACGUGGCCGGGAUGCGGCCAGGGGCGUGUGACUUUGCUGAUUAGCUCCCCACGGUUGGUCAUGUCCCAGCACCCCUGAACGGAGGCUCACGAAUGCAGCUGCCUGCACUUUGGACAGACCAGGACCAUACCAUACCCACUGGGGACAGGAAGGACAAGGGGCCUCUCAGCUCUGGUGAUCCUUGAACUUCACAUGGCAAGGUCCUCUGAGGGAUACAGGCUCCGUGACAGUCAGCGAACGCUGGUUGUGUCUGGGGUAAGUGCGAUCCAAGGUGACGUAGCAUUUUCAAGCUGAUGACUGUAGGGCUCCUGCCUCCCACAGCCACUGCGGCCUGCAGGGGCCUGGGCACACAUACACUUCCUAGGCUCUGGUCUUCUCUUCAGGCCCUGCAUUCCUCACCCCUGCGCCUAGUUCCUUAGGCUGUGGGGGCCCAAGCAGGGCCUGGACCACGUCAGCACCAGAAGAUGGCCCAGGUGCCAGCAGCCAUGAACAAAGGGAAUGCGCUGGGGAAAGGCUAGGACUCUGUGCAACAGGCCUUCUCAGAGCCCUGAACGUGCUCACAGGUGGUGUCUAUCCCAGAGGAAAGAGGGCACUUGCGGCAUUUCCCACACCGGUCCACAGAACAUCCUCCUCUCUCUUCUCUCGACACGGCAUCACGGGAGGCUAGCGUUUUGUGAAGAGCACUUUUGGGAAUGAUGGAAGCGGAGGGGCCCCGAUCUCUGACCUGAGCUAGUGUUUUCAUUGGACACAUGCUGUGUGACCCCAAGCAAGUCCCUCACUUCUCUGAGCUGGCGUGCUCACAGGUACAAACAAGCCAAAGCCUUUUUGCGAGGCACUGGGUCCCAGGGAGCAGGUUCUGGCUGUCCCGUCUGCACCGGGCUAGCACACGACCGCUUGGGGAACCACACACUGCCGGGACUGGGAAGGGGAAGUUCCGAGCACCAGCAGCCAAGCCCGCAGCCUGGUCUGGGGAACUUGGGGCAGAAAGGGGAUGUGGCGAGAGAUGAGGCAAGGCCAGCUCAGGGACAGCAGGGCCUGUGUCACCUCCUUGUGACUGCUGCCCCAGGCACGCCUCUCCCUGCCCCCAACAAGGACAUCCUGGCCUUUCUGAGGUUCUGCCACUCACAGGGCUUCUGCCUGAAGCCUCGGGAGGCUUGACAUCCUCAAGGCCAUAGCCAUGCAUGGCCCGACCCUCCGGACACCCAGGAUUACAGGACAGCGACCUGAGACUAAGCCCGGGGGACUACGCCCAGGAAGAUGGGUAUGCAGGAGGAUGCAUUGUGCCGGGGC
This is a long non-coding RNA of Mustela lutreola (European mink), 1365 nucleotides long. RefSeq lists it as uncharacterized. The transcript is spliced from 3 exons. The record is from RefSeq and is a predicted model, not a curated record. NCBI's taxonomy places the organism in Eukaryota, Metazoa, Chordata, Mammalia, Carnivora, Mustelidae.